AGAAAAGGCGGUGACAUCAGCAAAAGGGAGCCAACUCCUUCCCCGUCUGCCAUUUUGUACUCUUGGCCUAACGUUGACUCAAAACAGCAACUUGGAGCCUUCCCUGACCUGUUGGUAAAAUAUGACUUUGUUUUAUUAUUAAAAAAAUAGAAAGUAGAAAAUUAAAUUCAUUAGCUCCAAUUACUAAAUGAUUCAUCUGGCUGGCUAAUGAAGCUGAGCAUUAUGCUAACAAGAUAAAGGCAAGAAUAACAUGUGGGGAUGUGCGGCUGCAGGCACGCUGGGCCUGUUCUACUGGAAACGCAAGGCUGAGGAGCUCUGUGCCUUGAGAUGGAUGGCAAGAUACAAAAUCAAAAAGGUGUUUUAAUCCUGAGGAAGAGUGUGAGUCUGGGAAAAUUUUGGAUCACCGAGGUGCAGCCAUACCUUCCACAGCCAUCACUGUUGCUUACAACUCACAUGCCAAGAAUUGCAAGAUGAAGAUGGUGAUCAGGAGGCAUGACUUGUAACUACUUGGUUAGUGUAAAACAGAGAGGAGAAUUAGGAGAGGCAGAUGGCAGAGAGGUCUGCCAUGGAAGAUUCAUGGAUGACAGGAGAGGCUGUGUUCCAGAAUGCAAGGAAGAAGAGCCCAAGGACCGUAGCAAGGCCCUGAUUCUGGGAGACAAGAGAACACGCUGACUUAGAAUGCUUGUCUCUGCAUCCUGGUCAGAAAGUAGAUAGACGACACUUUCAUCUCCGACUGGAUUUUGGUGAGAGAUGGGCAAACCCCCGGCUCUAGGCUGGAGCAGCAGCUCUUGUAUCCACACAAAAUCAGGACUGGUGGAGGGAGCCAUCUUCAAAUAUAAAUUUGGUCAGUUUAACAAUCAGAGAUUUGAAAAACACAGAAGUGAACAUUUCUGAUCAAUGACACUGCUGAUCUGAUGCAUCAUAACAGAAACCAGUCAUCAAGCGUCUUUUGGCAAUGCACUCCUUGGGUUUGGAAGCUUCCCUCCAAGAUGCUGAGCCCAAUGUUUGGGGAAAGCCAGGGAAACAGAUGCUGGGUCAGUGCUGCUCCCACCUCCUCUGCUCCCCUCCUGAGGGCUCCACUGAGUCACCAGCCAGCAAACAGCCCAUGCGCCCUGGAGCAGAUGGACUGUGGGUACACGAGCCUCUGAACUCUUGGGCAGCAUGGGCACCACAUCCUUUUGGCCUCACCCAAUGACCUGGCUAACAGGGCAUUUCUCAAAUGGUGCCUAUUUGAAAUGAGAGCCCAGAAUCACCGCUAGCCUUAGCUUGCUAUUUAAGGGUUAAAAAAGGACAAGUAAACAGAUGAGCUCUUGGGUGGCAUGUGCUGUUCUCAGCCAUGGUAGGUGGUGGUAAGCUGGGGCCACACGGCAUGCUGGGUGACUGUUGAAUUCAGCCAAGGCCAUGCUGAGCAGGAGGGGGCAUGGCAGAGUCACACAUGUAGAAGGUGCCCACCUGAGAAGGUGAGAAUGGAAAUGUUUCCUUGAUGGGUUUGCACAGCUCCCUGGAAAGAGGAGACUUGCUGAGAGCAGCAAGGUGACAGCAAGGGUUCACAGCUGCAGCACACUGUCUGAAUCAGUGCUUGCCCCUGUGGAGUUCUGUAUGGAUUUUAUAACAAGCCUGUGACACUGGCACCAUGUGCCUGCCAUGGGCCACCACGGAGACCUGCCAAGUUCCCAUGAGGAAUUUGGGGUAUGGGGGCCUCCUGCUUUGGUGCCAUCCCUAGUGAUCUCUGCUUGGAGCUCGUAUUUCUCCCUUUACCUUUGAGUGGGACCACGCCCCUCUGCUUGCCCAAGGCUCCCUGUGCCUCCUGACUCUUCUCUGCUACCUGAAACCCUCCUCGACUCCUCCCUCUCCCUCUGCAUUCCCCAGGGUCUUCAGGGUCAAGCUCAAGGUUUGCCUCACCCCCAAAACCCUCCUCAGCCACACUGCCUAAUUUAUUCCUUUUGCCCAAAUUCUAUAACUGAGAUGAGACCGGAUCAUCUAAGCGGCCCCAGGGAGGCAGCCCAGGGGCAAUUAGAGCAUUGUGUCUAUGGAAACACACAUAGUACUGGCAUCCCCCCCACCAAGCUCUGUACCCUGUGAAACCCUGGGCCCACGUCUAUUUCCAGCCAUCCCUGCUCCCAGGAAUCACACCAUUCCUCCACAGUUUAGGUACCUGGCCUUGACCUUUACCCCAGCAAUUCCAUCCAGGUAUUUCAGAAUGCUUUGCAACAUGCAGGUGGCUUCUUAGGAGUGGGGGUAUUUGCCAACAAACCAACCAUGAGCCUGCAUCCAAAGAAAGCCUUCUACAGCCACAUGAAGACAGUGUGAUGCUCUCGAUGCUUGGGAAGGCCUCGCAAUGCACAUGGGGGCAGUGAUUGAAGGAGUCAAAGAGAAUUUCAUCUGCACACAUGGCGGCAGCUAGCUGUCCGGUGUGCAAAUCCAAAGACGUCUCCAGUCACACCUAUGCUUUCCAGCCCUUCUUUCCUCCUGUGAUGGAGUUAACCCCUCCCUCCCCAGUGGUCCACAAAACAAUAGGCUUUCCCAGUUGUUCUCAAGAGCUCCUCUCCCCUCUACCUGAGGGCUCCCAGCCAUGAGCCCUCUACCUGAGGUCUCAAAGGGGUCUGGAAAGGCUCUGGGCAAGCCGACAGCAACCGACGUGAAAAUAGGUGGUUCACUCGCACAUUCAGCUCCCCAUCUGGUCCAUUCUAGUUAUUUAUUUCAAAAAUCUGAGAGCAGCUUUUUUAUACACAAGUUUCCUUAUGUGGGGAAAAUGUAUGUGAAUGACAUUCGUUCUCAUUGGGGUGGAAUUGAAGAUAUCUUUAGGUGUCACUUAAUAGUCAGUGCUGAAAGGGCCUUUUCACCCUUAGCUAAUUUUUCUAGGAUUUCUAUGGGACCAAAAUGGGCAAGGGGACAAGUAUAUUUGGUUCUGGGGAGCUCUUAUCUCCCAGCAUCGCCUUGCAUUGACUCCUUUCAAAGUAGAAAACCCUCCCAGUCUGUUAUUUCUAGAAGGAAGCCUUGCCUUUAUCAUCAUCUCACUACCAUAAUCACCAUCAUUAUCAUCACCAUCAUCAUCACCAUUAUCACCACUACUAUCAUCAUUAUCACCAUCAUCAUCACCAUCAUCAUCAUCAUCACCACCAUCACCACCACCACCAUCAUCAUCAUCCUUGUCGUCAUCAUCAUCAACAUCAACAUCAUCUUUUGCUAAAGUGAGAGAUAGGGCCAAGUCCAUUGAACUGUGUACCUUUAAUUCUGACAUGCUUUCCCUUCCUCUCACUUUCUCCAGCACUUUUCUGAGCUUCUGGUAUAACAAGUUUUAGAAUUUGAUUACAGCACCAUCUACUGGGUACUAGACUUCCCAUUUUUCUAGGCCUUUCCUAUACAUUGACGUUUGCUUCUUCUUUCUGUUUUUUCCUCCGCUCUCUCCUGCUUUUUCCCCCAUGAAAGUAACAAUUGUUAGUUUGAAAAGGUUCCAUCAAUUAAUUCCUAAAAGUGAAGCUCUUCUAAAAUGAGGAAAAGCUUACAUCCCUUGCCAAUAAAUACUCACAAAGACAAUGG
This is a long non-coding RNA of Pan troglodytes (chimpanzee), 3540 nucleotides long. RefSeq lists it as uncharacterized. The transcript is spliced from 7 exons. NCBI's taxonomy places the organism in Eukaryota, Metazoa, Chordata, Mammalia, Primates, Hominidae. The record is from RefSeq and is a predicted model, not a curated record.